GCCGGAGUAGCUCAGUCGGCAGAGCGACGCACUCGUAAUGCGUAGGUCCGCGGUUCGAUUCCGCGCUCCGGCUCCA
RNAcentral lists this transfer RNA (76 nucleotides) under Actinomycetes bacterium. Its description in RNAcentral is "Actinobacteria bacterium tRNA-Thr". It matches the Rfam family "tRNA". From Rfam's summary of the family: Transfer RNA (tRNA) molecules are approximately 80 nucleotides in length. Their secondary structure includes four short double-helical elements and three loops (D, anti-codon, and T loops). Lineage: Bacteria; Bacillati; Actinomycetota; Actinomycetes. The record is from RNAcentral. RNAcentral also lists the same sequence under 2 other names.